AACAAUGCAAGUCGAGCGGUAACAGGUCCAGCUUGCUGGAUGCUGACGAGCGGCGGACGGGUGAGUAACGCAUAGGAAUCUACCCGGUAGUGGGGGAUAACCUGGGGAAACCCAGGCUAAUACCGCAUACGUCCUACGGGAGAAAGGGGGCUUCGGCUCCCGCUAUUGGAUGAGCCUAUGCCGGAUUAGCUGGUUGGUGAGGUAAUGGCUCACCAAGGCGACGAUCCGUAGCUGGUCUGAGAGGAUGAUCAGCCACAUCGGGACUGAGACACGGCCCGAACUCCUACGGGAGGCAGCAGUGGGGAAUAUUGGACAAUGGGGGCAACCCUGAUCCAGCCAUGCCGCGUGUGUGAAGAAGGCCCUCGGGUUGUAAAGCACUUUCAGCGAGGAAGAACGCCUGUCGGUUAAUACCCGGCAGGAAAGACAUCACUCGCAGAAGAAGCACCGGCUAACUCCGUGCCAGCAGCCGCGGUAAUACGGAGGGUGCAAGCGUUAAUCGGAAUUACUGGGCGUAAAGCGCGCGUAGGUGGCUUGAUAAGCCGGUUGUGAAAGCCCCGGGCUCAACCUGGGAACGGCAUCCGGAACUAUGAGGCUAGAGUGCAGGAGAGGAAGGUAGAAUUCCCGGUGUAGCGGUGAAAUGCGUAGAGAUCGGGAGGAAUACCAGUGGCGAAGGCGGCCUUCUGGACUGACACUGACACUGAGGUGCGAAAGCGUGGGUAGCAAACAGGAUUAGAUACCCUGGUAGUCCACGCCCGUAAACGAUGUCGACCAGCCGUUGGGUGCCUAGCGCACUUUUGUGG
RNAcentral lists this ribosomal RNA (800 nucleotides) under Halomonas sp. RNAcentral describes it as "bacterial SSU rRNA". It matches the Rfam family "Bacterial small subunit ribosomal RNA", at positions 50 to 846 of the family's 1533-position model. The record is from RNAcentral. Lineage: Bacteria; Pseudomonadati; Pseudomonadota; Gammaproteobacteria; Oceanospirillales; Halomonadaceae.